Molecule: ribosomal RNA, 513 nt
Filed under: uncultured bacterium
Lineage: Bacteria
Description: partial 16S ribosomal RNA
Rfam family: Bacterial small subunit ribosomal RNA
Source: RNAcentral
GACGAACGCUGGCGGCAUGCCUAAUACAUGCAAGUCGAGCGAACAGAUGAAGUGCUUGCACUUCUGACGUUAGCGGCGAACGGGUGAGUAACACGUAAGGAAUCUACCUAUAAGCGGGGGAUAACAUUCGGAAACGGGUGCUAAUACCGCAUAAUAUCUUCUUCCGCAUGGAAGAAGAUUGAAAGACGGCUCUGCUGUCACUUAUAGAUGACCUUGCGGUGCAUUAGUUAGUUGGUGGGGUAACGGCCUACCAAGACGAUGAUGCAUAGCCGACCUGAGAGGGUGAUCGGCCGCAUUGGGACUGAGACACGGCCCAAACCCCUACGGGAGGCAGCAGUAGGGAAUCUUCCGCAAUGGGCGAAAGCCUGACGGAGCAAUGCCGCGUGAGUGAAGAAGGCCUUCGGGUCGUAAAACUCUGUUAUAAGAGAAGAACGAAUUGUAGAGUAACUGCUACAGUCUUGACGGUAUCUUAUCAGAAAGCCACGGCUAACUACGUGCCAGCAGCCGCCGUAA